This 107-nucleotide small nuclear RNA is filed under the name Suricata suricatta (meerkat). RNAcentral's name for it is "U2 spliceosomal RNA (ENSSSUG00005018349.1)". It matches the Rfam family "U2 spliceosomal RNA". From Rfam's summary of the family: U2 is a small nuclear RNA (snRNA) component of the spliceosome (involved in pre-mRNA splicing). The record is from Rfam by way of RNAcentral. Lineage: Eukaryota; Metazoa; Chordata; Mammalia; Carnivora; Herpestidae.
AUCGCUUCUUGGCCUUUUGCCUAAGAUCAAGUGUAGUAUCUGUUCUUAUCAGUUUAACAAAAGCUUUUUUCAUAGAUGAAGCUUUCCAAGUCAGAGUCUUACAUUAU